Molecule: ribosomal RNA, 795 nt
Filed under: uncultured bacterium
Lineage: Bacteria
Description: bacterial SSU rRNA
Rfam family: Bacterial small subunit ribosomal RNA
Source: RNAcentral
UCGAACGAUUAAACUUCCCUUCGGGGAAGAUAUAAAGUGGCGUACGGGUGAGUAACACGUAAGUAAUCUACCUUCGAGUGGGGAAUAACGUCGGGAAACCGACGCUAAUACCGCAUAAUGCAGCGGCACCUAAUGGUGACAGUUGUUAAAGAUUUAUCGCUUGAAGAGGAGCUUGCGGCAGAUUAGCUAGUUGGUAAGGUAAUGGCUUACCAAGGCAACGAUCUGUAUCCGGUCUAAGAGGACGGUCGGACACACUGACACUGAAUAACGGGUCAGACUCCUACGGGAGGCAGCAGUCGGGAAUUUUGGGCAAUGGGCGAAAGCCUGACCCAGCAACGCCGCGUGAAGGAUGAAGUCUUUCGGGAUGUAAACUUCGUAAGAAUAGGAAGAAUAAAUGACGGUACUAUUUGUAAGGUCCGGCUAACUACGUGCCAGCAGCCGCGGUAAUACGUAGGGACCAAGCGUUGUUCGGAUUUACUGGGCGUAAAGGGCGCGUAGGCGGCGUGUUAAGUCACUUGUGAAAUCUCUAAGCUUAACUUAGAACGGUCAAGUGAUACUGAUGUGCUAGAGUGCAGAAGGGGCAACCGGAAUUCUUGGUGUAGCGGUGAAAUGCGUAGAUAUCAAGAGGGACACCUGAGGUGAAGACGGGUUGCUGGGCUGACACUGACGCUGAGGCGCGAAAGCUAGGGUAGCAAACGGGAUUAGAUACCCCGGUAGUCCUAGCCCUAAACGAUGAAUACUUGGUGUCUGGAGUUUUUAUUCUCCCGGGUGCCGUCGCUAACGUUUUAAGUAUUC